GGGGAAUAUUGGACAAUGGGCGCAAGCCUGAUCCAGCCAUACCGCGUGGGUGAAGAAGGCCUUCGGGUUGUAAAGCCCUUUUGUUGGGAAAGAAAUCCAGCUGGCUAAUACCCGGUUGGGAUGACGGUACCCAAAGAAUAAGCACCGGCUAACUUCGUGCCAGCAGCCGCGGUAAUACGAAGGGUGCAAUCGUUACUCGGAAUUACUGGGCGUAAAGCGUGCGUAGGUGGUCGUUUAAGUCCGUUGUGAAAGCCCUGGGCUCAACCUGGGAACUGCAGUGGAUACUGGACGACUAGAGUGUGGUAGAGGGUAGCGGAAUUCCUGGUGUAGCAGUGAAAUGCGUAGAGAUCUGGAGGAAUACCGGUGGCGAAGGCGGCCCCCUGGACAAAGACUGACGCUCAGGUGCGAAAGCGUGGGGAGCAAACA
Molecule: ribosomal RNA, 426 nt
Filed under: uncultured Stenotrophomonas sp.
Lineage: Bacteria; Pseudomonadati; Pseudomonadota; Gammaproteobacteria; Lysobacterales; Lysobacteraceae
Description: bacterial SSU rRNA
Rfam family: Bacterial small subunit ribosomal RNA
Source: RNAcentral